GGGUUGUGAGGUUAAGCGACUAAGCGUACACGGUGGAUGCCCUGGCAGUCAGAGGCGAUGAAGGACGUGCUAAUCUGCGAUAAGCGUCGGUAAGGUGAUAUGAACCGUUAUAACCGGCGAUUUCCGAAUGGGGAAACCCAGUGUGUUUCGACACACUAUCAUUAACUGAAUCCAUAGGUUAAUGAGGCGAACCGGGGGAACUGAAACAUCUAAGUACCCUGAGGAAAAGAAAUCAACCGAGAUUCCCCCAGUAGCGGCGAGCGAACGGGGAGCAGCCCAGAGCCUGAAUCAGUAUGUGUGUUAGUGGAAGCGUCUGGAAAGGCGCGCGAUACAGGGUGACAGCCCCGUACACAAAAAUGCACAUGCUGUGAGCUCGAUGAGUAGGGCGGGACACGUGGUAUCCUGUCUGAAUAUGGGGGGACCAUCCUCCAAGGCUAAAUACUCCUGACUGACCGAUAGUGAACCAGUACCGUGAGGGAAAGGCGAAAAGAACCCCGGCGAGGGGAGUGAAAAAGAACCUGAAACCGUGUACGUACAAGCAGUGGGAGCACGCUUAGGCGUGUGACUGCGUACCUUUUGUAUAAUGGGUCAGCGACUUAUAUUCUGUAGCAAGGUUAACCGAAUAGGGGAGCCGAAGGGAAACCGAGUCUUAACUGGGCGUUAAGUUGCAGGGUAUAGACCCGAAACCCGGUGAUCUAGCCAUGGGCAGGUUGAAGGUUGGGUAACACUAACUGGAGGACCGAACCGACUAAUGUUGAAAAAUUAGCGGAUGACUUGUGGCUGGGGGUGAAAGGCCAAUCAAACCGGGAGAUAGCUGGUUCUCCCCGAAAGCUAUUUAGGUAGCGCCUCGUGAAUUCAUCUCCGGGGGUAGAGCACUGUUUCGGCAAGGGGGUCAUCCCGACUUACCAACCCGAUGCAAACUGCGAAUACCGGAGAAUGUUAUCACGGGAGACACACGGCGGGUGCUAACGUCCGUCGUGAAGAGGGAAACAACCCAGACCGCCAGCUAAGGUCCCAAAGUCAUGGUUAAGUGGGAAACGAUGUGGGAAGGCCCAGACAGCCAGGAUGUUGGCUUAGAAGCAGCCAUCAUUUAAAGAAAGCGUAAUAGCUCACUGGUCGAGUCGGCCUGCGCGGAAGAUGUAACGGGGCUAAACCAUGCACCGAAGCUGCGGCAGCGACGCUGAUGCGUUGUUGGGUAGGGGAGCGUUCUGUAAGCCUGCGAAGGUGUGCUGUGAGGCAUGCUGGAGGUAUCAGAAGUGCGAAUGCUGACAUAAGUAACGAUAAAGCGGGUGAAAAGCCCGCUCGCCGGAAGACCAAGGGUUCCUGUCCAACGUUAAUCGGGGCAGGGUGAGUCGACCCCUAAGGCGAGGCCGAAAGGCGUAGUCGAUGGGAAACAGGUUAAUAUUCCUGUACUUGGUGUUACUGCGAAGGGGGGACGGAGAAGGCUAUGUUGGCCGGGCGACGGUUGUCCCGGUUUAAGCGUGUAGGCUGGUUUUCCAGGCAAAUCCGGAAAAUCAAGGCUGAGGCGUGAUGACGAGGCACUGCGGUGCUGAAGCAACAAAUGCCCUGCUUCCAGGAAAAGCCUCUAAGCAUCAGGUAACAUCAAAUCGUACCCCAAACCGACACAGGUGGUCAGGUAGAGAAUACCAAGGCGCUUGAGAGAACUCGGGUGAAGGAACUAGGCAAAAUGGUGCCGUAACUUCGGGAGAAGGCACGCUGAUAUGUAGGUGAAGUCCCUCGCGGAUGGAGCUGAAAUCAGUCGAAGAUACCAGCUGGCUGCAACUGUUUAUUAAAAACACAGCACUGUGCAAACACGAAAGUGGACGUAUACGGUGUGACGCCUGCCCGGUGC
RNAcentral lists this ribosomal RNA (1852 nucleotides) under Escherichia coli. RNAcentral's name for it is "partial 23S ribosomal RNA". It matches the Rfam family "Bacterial large subunit ribosomal RNA", at positions 1 to 1869 of the family's 2925-position model. Lineage: Bacteria; Pseudomonadati; Pseudomonadota; Gammaproteobacteria; Enterobacterales; Enterobacteriaceae. The record is from RNAcentral.